Molecule: ribosomal RNA, 728 nt
Filed under: uncultured bacterium
Lineage: Bacteria
Description: bacterial SSU rRNA
Rfam family: Bacterial small subunit ribosomal RNA
Source: RNAcentral
GACGAACGCUGGCGGCGUGCCUAAUACAUGCAAGUCGAGCGCAUGAAAUUAUUUGAUUCUCUUCGGAGUUGACGAUAAUGGAAUGAGCGGCGGACGGGUGAGUAACACGUAGGCAACCUGCCUGUAAGACUGGGAUAACUCGUGGAAACGCGAGCUAAUACCGGAUAACACUUUUCAUCUCCUGAUGAGAAGUUGAAAGGCGGCUUUUGCUGUCACUUACAGAUGGGCCUGCGGCGCAUUAGCUAGUUGGUAAGGUAACGGCUUACCAAGGCGACGAUGCGUAGCCGACCUGAGAGGGUGAUCGGCCACACUGGGACUGAGACACGGCCCAGACUCCUACGGGAGGCAGCAGUAGGGAAUCUUCCGCAAUGGACGAAAGUCUGACGGAGCAACGCCGCGUGAGUGAUGAAGGUUUUCGGAUCGUAAAACUCUGUUGUUAGGGAAGAACAAGUACUAUAGUAACUGAUAGUACCUUGACGGUACCUAACCAGAAAGCCACGGCUAACUACGUGCCAGCAGCCGCGGUAAUACGUAGGUGGCAAGCGUUGUCCGGAAUUAUUGGGCGUAAAGCGCUCGCAGGCGGUUCUUUAAGUCUGAUGUGAAAUCUUACGGCUCAACCGUAAACGUGCAUUGGAAACUGGGGAACUUGAGUGCAGAAGAGGAGAGUGGAAUUCCACGUGUAGCGGUGAAAUGCGUAGAGAUGUGGAGGAACACCAGUGGCGAAGGCG